Molecule: long non-coding RNA, 743 nt
Organism: Cornus florida
Lineage: Eukaryota; Viridiplantae; Streptophyta; Magnoliopsida; Cornales; Cornaceae
Exons: 2
Source: RefSeq, a predicted model, not a curated record
AUCGAAGGAGGAAAGCAACCACCAAAAUGAUGGAGCUAUAACCCACAAUGCAAAAUCUGAGGAGGAAAGCAACCACCAAAACGGAGAAUGUGGGGGUGAGCAAUUAAUGAUGAAGACCAGGUUGGCGAGAGAGCCAAGUGGAAUUUGCAAAGGUCAACAAGCGUGUGCGUACUGCAGGAGGUGGAAGUACAGGGACUGUUGGGUGAGUGUUUUGCAUAUGCAGUCAUAUAUUGGUUCAAAUGGUCCCUUUUGCAAUUCUCUUCUGUUGUGUAUGUAUGCUUGGCUAUUCUGUGUGUUUUGAGAAUACUUAAGCCAGUUGUGUGUUUAUGUCAUAUCUUACGUUAUUGAUGCAUCUUUUUCUGUCAGAAAUCUUCGGAUCAGAGAAGACACGGCUGAAACGGGAAAAAAUACUCUCCAGACACCCUCUCACUGGAGGGUGUCCAUCGCUGACAUGGAGACUAGGGGUGACAUGGCAGGUUAAAAAUGGAUACGGUCAGUAUCCGUUUCAAGGCUGAGGUUAGCAGUGUGGGACCAUCAUCCGAACUCAUCUACUCUUACGAUCCAGUGCAGGGUAGAAGUUUUAUGUAAUACUUCAGUUUCAGUUUUUAUUUACUUUUGACGUUGAACUCUCAGGGUUAUAUUUAGGGAUCCCUGACGUAGGAUUUUCCAAGUUGUAAUGAAGUACUGUAUUAAAUAAAGGAUGGAUGGAUGUUGUAUUAUUUAAUGUUCCUUUCCUGUCUAAA